GUGAGGAAUAUUGCACAAUGGGCGAAAGCCUGAUGCAGCAACGCCGCGUGAGUGAUGAAGGCCUUUGGGUCGAAAAACUCUGUCCUUGGGGAAGAAAAAAAUGACGGUACCCUUGGAGGAAGCCCCGGCUAACUACGUGCCAGCAGCCGCGGUAAUACGUAGGGGGCAAGCGUUAUCCGGAAUUAUUGGGCGGAAAGAGUGCGUAGGUGGUUUUGUAAGCGUAGGGUGAAAGGCAGUAGCUCAACUAUUGUUAGCCCUGCGAACUGUGAGACUUGAGUGCAGGAGAGGAAAGUGGAAUUCCUAGUGUAGCGGUGAAAUGCGUAGAUAUUAGGAGGAACACCAGUGGCGAAGGCGACUUUCUGGACUGUAACUGACACUGAGGCACGAAAGCGUGGGUAGCAAACAGGAUUAGAAACCCCGGUAGUCC
RNAcentral lists this ribosomal RNA (427 nucleotides) under uncultured bacterium. RNAcentral describes it as "partial 16S ribosomal RNA". It matches the Rfam family "Bacterial small subunit ribosomal RNA", at positions 354 to 796 of the family's 1533-position model. The record is from RNAcentral.